UGCACGCGCGCCGUCUUCUGCUCCUACCCCCGGCAAGGCAAGCAAGAGGCCUCUGUCUCUCCCGCCGUACCUGGUACGUAUGUGCCGCGAUCCGGGUUCUCUAACAACUAGCUCCAACUGUGGCGGCCACUGCAGGUUCCCGAACGAGACAGCCGAUGGGCGACGACGUGCUCCGCCGCGCCUCCGUCCAUCCUCUCGACGCCGACUCCGGGGGCAUGAAGGACAAGGCUGGCGCUUCUCCACCCGGACGCUGAUUUUGAUCCAAUCUCGUUCCCUAUCAUUGUUAAGGCCCACACUGGCAGGCGCAUUGUUCUUGAUGUCAAGAGUGUAGAUACUAUUCAUAACGUCAAGACCAAGAUUCAUGACAAGAAGGGUAUCCCUCCACAGCAGCAGUGUCUCAUAUUUGGUAGCAGCAAGGAGCUGGAGGAUGGACGGACCUUGGCCGACUACAGCAUCCAAAAGGAAUUCUUCCUUCAUCUUAUCCCUCGCAUCCGCGGAUGGAUGGAGAUUUCUGUGGAGACCCUCGACGGCAGGGUGAUCACCCUCCAGGUCGACCCAUCAGAUACCAUCAUUGCAGUCAAGGUAGAGAUUCAAGCUCAACAUCACCUUAUCUUCAACGGGAAGCAACUGGACGACAGGCUUAUAUUGGCUGAUUAUGGCAUCCAAUAUAGGCCCAUUCCUGACUUUCGUUACCAGCUCCAGGAAAUGAUGAAAAUAUGCAUCAGGACGCUGGACAACUCUCUGUAUGUUAAGAGCUCAGACACUAUCGACAGCGUCAAGGCCAAGAUUAAUGAUGAGUAUGGUUCAUCCAGGCCAGUAGUGCCUCAUGUUUGACAAGACGACCAUGACAUCCCCAAUUAUUCCGUACUCAAUCUUACAGGGCUGCCAUACUUUAGCCGAUUAUGGAAUCCAGAACGGAGCCACACUCAGACCAUGUCGUCUGUUACCGACCAAGACUGAUGGAGAUCUUCGUCAGGAAUUUGAAAGGGAAGGCCCUGACGUUUAAGGUUGAGAUCACAGAUACGAUCCGCAGUGUCAAGGAGAAGAUUGAGCAGGUGGAACAUAUUGACCUGGCAAGCCAACGCCUCAUCUUUGCCGGGCGGCAGCUGGAGGAUGGCUUCACACUGGCGGAAUACAAGAUCCAGGCUGAAUCCACAUUUCAUCUUUACCUCCGUCUUUAUUCAUGUGCUACUAAAUGUCCCGGAACCCAUCACUAGAGAGUGUAUUAAUGUCUCUGAAGUGAUUUGCUGGAAUCA
This is a long non-coding RNA of Triticum aestivum (bread wheat), 1256 nucleotides long. RefSeq lists it as uncharacterized. Lineage: Eukaryota; Viridiplantae; Streptophyta; Magnoliopsida; Poales; Poaceae. The record is from RefSeq and is a predicted model, not a curated record. The transcript is spliced from 2 exons.